This 468-nucleotide ribosomal RNA is filed under the name uncultured bacterium. RNAcentral's name for it is "partial 16S ribosomal RNA". It matches the Rfam family "Bacterial small subunit ribosomal RNA", at positions 28 to 507 of the family's 1533-position model. The record is from RNAcentral.
GACGAACGCUGGCGGCGUGCUUAACACAUGCAGGUCGAACGGAAAGGCCCUGCUUUUGUGGGGUGCUCGAGUGGCGAACGGGUGAGUAACACGUGAGUAACCUGCCCUUGACUUUGGGAUAACUUCAGGAAACUGGGGCUAAUACCGGAUAGGAGCUCCUGCUGCAUGGUGGGGGUUGGAAAGUUUCGGCGGUUGGGGAUGGGCUCGCGGCUUAUCAGCUUGUUGGUGGGGUAGUGGCUUACCAAGGCUUUGACGGGUAGCCGGCCUGAGAGGGUGACCGGCCACAUUGGGACUGAGAUACGGCCCAGACUCCUACGGGAGGCAGCAGUGGGGAAUAUUGCACAAUGGGCGGAAGCCUGAUGAAGCAACGCCGCGUGCGGGAUGACGGCCUUCGGGUUGUAAACCGCUUUCGCCUGUGACGAAGCGUGAGUGACGGUAAUGGGUAAAGAAGCACCGGCUAACUACGUG